AACUCCCAAAGCUAAGGUUCUGAAUUGAACUACCCUCUG
RNAcentral lists this transfer RNA (39 nucleotides) under Galaxias maculatus (cowfish). Its description in RNAcentral is "partial tRNA-Pro". The record is from RNAcentral. Lineage: Eukaryota; Metazoa; Chordata; Actinopteri; Galaxiiformes; Galaxiidae.